GAUGAAGAACGCAGCGAAAUGCGAUAAGUAGUGUGAAUUGCAGAAUUCAGUGAUUCAUCGAAUCUUUGAACGCACAUUGCGCCCCUUGGUAUUCCGAGGGGCAUGCCUGUUCGAGCAUCAUUAUCACCCCUCAAGCUUUGCUUGGUGUUGGGGCCUGCUGUAAUAGGCAGCCCUUAAAAUCAGUGGCGGUGCUUCAAGGCUCUAAGCGUAGUAAUUCUCCUCGCUAUAGUGUCUAGUGGUUGCCAGCCAGAACCCCCCAAUUUUCAUGAUUGACCUCGGAUCAGGUAGGGAUACCCGCUGAACUUAAGCAUAUCAAUAAGCGGAGGA
Molecule: unclassified non-coding RNA, 327 nt
Filed under: soil metagenome
Description: partial contains 5.8S ribosomal RNA, internal transcribed spacer 2, and large subunit ribosomal RNA
Rfam family: 5.8S ribosomal RNA (bases 1-120)
Source: RNAcentral